CGGCUGUGAUGACUUCUUAGGACACCUUUGAAUUCCCCAUGAAAACAAACUCAUGAAACACCUGAGCUGC
This is a small nucleolar RNA of Archocentrus centrarchus (flier cichlid), 70 nucleotides long. RefSeq annotates it as small nucleolar RNA SNORD58. Lineage: Eukaryota; Metazoa; Chordata; Actinopteri; Cichliformes; Cichlidae. The record is from RefSeq and is a predicted model, not a curated record. The transcript has a single exon.